GACGAACGCUGGCGGCGUGCUUAACACAUGCAGGUCGAACGGAAAGGCCCUGCUUUUGUGGGGUGCUCGAGUGGCGAACGGGUGAGUAACACGUGAGUAACCUGCCCUUGACUUUGGGAUAACUUCAGGAAACUGGGGCUAAUACCGGAUAGGAGCUCCUGCUGCAUGGUGGGGGUUGGAAAGUUUCGGCGGUUGGGGAUGGACUCGCGGCUUAUCAGCUUGUUGGUGGGGUAGUGGCUUACCAAGGCUUUGACGGGUAGCCGGCCUGAGAGGGUGACCGGCCACAUUGGGACUGAGAUACGGCCCAGCCUCCUACGGGAGGCAGCAGUGGGGAAUAUUGCACAAUGGGCGGAAGCCUGAUGCAGCAACGCCGCGUGCGGGAUGACGGCCUUCGGGUUGUAAACCGCUUUCGCCUGUGACGAAGCGUGAGUGACGGUAAUGGGUAAAGAAGCACCGGCUAACUACGUG
This 468-nucleotide ribosomal RNA is filed under the name uncultured bacterium. Its description in RNAcentral is "partial 16S ribosomal RNA". It matches the Rfam family "Bacterial small subunit ribosomal RNA", at positions 28 to 507 of the family's 1533-position model. The record is from RNAcentral.